This 1161-nucleotide ribosomal RNA is filed under the name Triticum aestivum (bread wheat). Its description in RNAcentral is "partial small subunit ribosomal RNA". Lineage: Eukaryota; Viridiplantae; Streptophyta; Magnoliopsida; Poales; Poaceae. The record is from RNAcentral.
AUGCCACCCGGCCAGCCGUAUCCAACCGGAGCAAACAACACUCGACGUACACGACCAUCUAAGAAGAUGGCGACUAAGCUCGCGGCGCUCAUCGUCUUGGUGGCGUUCCUGGCCGGGCCCCCGGCGUGCGAGGGCGACAUCAUUUGCUUCAACGGCUGGCUGAAGCUACCCAUCCAGGACCCGCGGCUCUGUCCUCAGGGCUCCAUGUCCAGGAUGAACGGCCGUACGCGAGCGCUGGUGCCAGUGCCUCGUCCCUCGGGGUUAGGGCUCGGCCUCGGCUACUACAACAACAGGAGCUCCAGGUCCUACUGCCCGAGAGCGGAAGGGAUCGUGAGGGAUGCCGUAAGCAAGGCCGUCGCCGCGCAACCUGGCAUCGGUGCGGGCCUCAUCCGUCUCUUCUUCCACGACUGCUUCGUUCGGGGCUGCGAUGCUUCCGUCCUCCUCACGACGACCAACUCCAACAACAGCGACACCGAAAGAGAAGGCAACCCGAACAAGAACAGCCUGCGAGGGUUAGAGGUGAUCGACGCGGCCAAGGCGAAGAUCGAGGCCGCCUGCCCUGGGAGAGUCUCGUGCGCCGACAUCGUCGCCUUCGCCGCCCGCGACGCGUCCUCCAUCCUCAGUAACCGUAGGAUCAACAUCCGGAUGCCGGGCGGCCGCUACGACGGCCGCGAGUCCUUCUCCAAUGAGACCGACCAGCUGCCCGGGCCCUUCUCCGGCGCUACGGUGCUCUUGAGUAAUUUCAAGGCCAAGGGGCUCACCUCCGACGAAAUGGUCACCCUCUCCGGCGCGCACACCAUCGGCCGCGCCCGUUGCGCGUUCUUUUCCAGCCGCUUCUCUGAAAUGGACCCGACAUUUGCCGCCAAGCUCAAGGCCCAGUGCAACGACGACGACACCAACGUGGACCAAGAACAUGUGACCCCCGAAGUCCUCGACAAGCGCUACUACCAGGAUGUGAUCGACGGAAAAGCGUUGUUCACCUCGGACGCCGUGCUCAACUCGGCCGAAACAAUAAAGCAGGUGACAGAAAAUGCGAAAAAGGCAGGGGCGUGGGAGAGGAAGUUUGAGAGAGCCAUGGAGAAUUUGGGAAAAAUCGGGGUCAAGACCAAAGCCGACAAAGAUGCAGAGAUCAGGAAGGUAUGCUGGAAGGUCAACAACUAA